UGCGCAGGUGGGUUUGUAAGUCAGUGGUGAAAUACUGCCGCUUAACGGUAGAACUGCCAUUGAUACUGCGAAUCUUGAGUAUGGUUGAGGUAGGCGGAAUGUGUAGUGUAGCGGUGAAAUGCAUAGAUAUUACACAGAACUCCGAUUGCGAAGGCAGCUUACUAAGCCAUAACUGACGCUGAGGCACGAAAGCGUGGGGAGCGAACAGGAUUAGAUACCCUGGUAGUCC
Molecule: ribosomal RNA, 229 nt
Filed under: uncultured bacterium
Lineage: Bacteria
Description: partial 16S ribosomal RNA
Rfam family: Bacterial small subunit ribosomal RNA
Source: RNAcentral